AAAUGAACUAACAGAGCAAGAGCAACAAAUUACGAUGUCACGGGUUGUGUGUGUCGCUGAGGGAGAGUAUGGAGACGAGAGAGAAACAACAAAUUGGAUGGGAGAGUAUGGAGACGAGAGAGAAACAACAAAUUGGAUAAGUGAAGAAGGUGGAUUAGGGUUAGACAAUGGUUUCUGAUUUUUUUUUUUUCAAUUGGGACAACAGUAAGGAUGACAGAGAAAAUGUUGGAGUCAGAGAGAUGAAAGAGUAAGGGUCGAGAGGAACGAGAGACAUGAGUAAGGGUUUUGGGGUUUCUUUUUUUUUUAGUUUUGAGAAUGAAAAUUAUUUAAAUAUCCUUGACCUUAAAACUUAGAAUCCAUGAUAAAUGAGGGUAUUUUUGUCUACUAUAAUCCG
RNAcentral lists this long non-coding RNA (394 nucleotides) under Vigna radiata. RNAcentral's name for it is "long non-coding RNA (VRAD_LNC009318)". Lineage: Eukaryota; Viridiplantae; Streptophyta; Magnoliopsida; Fabales; Fabaceae. The record is from RNAcentral.